This 199-nucleotide ribosomal RNA is filed under the name uncultured bacterium. RNAcentral's name for it is "partial 16S ribosomal RNA". It matches the Rfam family "Bacterial small subunit ribosomal RNA", at positions 328 to 539 of the family's 1533-position model. The record is from RNAcentral.
ACGCUCGACACCUACGGGCGGCAGCAGUGGGGAAUAUUGCACAAUGGGGGAAACCCUGAUGCAGCGACGCCGCGUGGAGGAAGAAGGUCUUCGGAUUGUAAACUCCUGUUGUUGGGGAAAAAGAGGAUGGUACCCAACAAGGAAGUGACGGCUAACUACGUGCCAGCAGCCGCGGUAAUCUGAGGCGGGCUGGCAAGGC